This 432-nucleotide ribosomal RNA is filed under the name uncultured bacterium. Its description in RNAcentral is "partial 16S ribosomal RNA". It matches the Rfam family "Bacterial small subunit ribosomal RNA", at positions 29 to 506 of the family's 1533-position model. The record is from RNAcentral.
AACGAACGCUGGCGGCAUGCCUAACACAUGCAAGUCGAACGAGACCUUCGGGUCUAGUGGCGCACGGGUGCGUAACGCGUGGGAACCUGCCCUUAGGUUCGGAAUAACUCCCCGAAAGGGGUGCUAAUACCGGAUAAUGUCUUCGGACCAAAGAUUUAUCGCCUUUGGAUGGGCCCGCGUUGGAUUAGCUAGUUGGUAGGGUAAAAGCCUACCAAGGCGACGAUCCAUAGCUGGUCUGAGAGGAUGAUCAGCCACACUGGGACUGAGACACGGCCCAGUCUCCUACGGGAGGCAGCAGUGGGGAAUAUUGGACAAUGGGCGAAAGCCUGAUCCAGCAAUGCCGCGUGAGUGAUGAAGGCCUUAGGGUUGUAAAGCUCUUUUACCCGGGAUGAUAAUGACAGUACCGGGAGAAUAAGCUCCGGCUAACUCCGU